This 71-nucleotide transfer RNA is filed under the name Brevibacillus phage Jenst. It matches the Rfam family "tRNA". Rfam says of the family: Transfer RNA (tRNA) molecules are approximately 80 nucleotides in length. Their secondary structure includes four short double-helical elements and three loops (D, anti-codon, and T loops). Lineage: Duplodnaviria; Heunggongvirae; Uroviricota; Caudoviricetes. The record is from Rfam by way of RNAcentral.
AGUUUGGAGGGCAAAUGGCUUGCCGACGGUCUCCAAAGCCGUUCUCAUGAGGUUCGAUUCCUCCCACCCUU